This 254-nucleotide ribosomal RNA is filed under the name uncultured bacterium. Its description in RNAcentral is "partial 16S ribosomal RNA". It matches the Rfam family "Bacterial small subunit ribosomal RNA", at positions 793 to 1055 of the family's 1533-position model. The record is from RNAcentral.
GUCCACGCAGUAAACGAUGGAUACUAGCUGUUGGGUGCAAACUCAGUGGCUAAGCGAAAGUGAUAAGUAUCCCACCUGGGGAGUACGUUCGCAAGAAUGAAACUCAAAGGAAUUGACGGGGCCCGCACAAGCGGUGGAGCAUGUGGUUUAAUUCGAUGAUACGCGAGGAACCUUACCAAGGCUUAAAUGUAGUUUGACAGAUUUUGGAAACAGAUUUUUCUCGGACAAAUUACAAGGUGCUGCAUGGUUGUCGU